RNAcentral lists this long non-coding RNA (600 nucleotides) under Bos taurus (domestic cattle). RNAcentral describes it as "long non-coding RNA NONBTAT007506". Lineage: Eukaryota; Metazoa; Chordata; Mammalia; Artiodactyla; Bovidae. The record is from RNAcentral.
CUUGGGUUGGGGCAGUGUGCAAGAGAGUAAGACAUGCAGCUGCUCUCCACCCAAGUCCUUUUGUGGGCUGAGAUUUCAGAUGAUUUUUCCUCCUCCUGGUUUAGAGCCAGUCAUUGGCUGAAGGAUUUGCAGGGGGCCGUUUGACUGUGUUUUGUCCGUCUUUCUCUGUCUUUCUUCUUGGAGGUGUGGCUUUGUCACUCACUUCUUGGGUACUCGGAUAAUGUAGAUAAAGUGCUGGCCCACAGCAUAACUUAGGUAGGAAACACAGAACCCCCUUUAUACUUUUAAUGAUGACUGUCUAUAUUCUUAAUAUCUCCUUGAGAAGCAGUGAACUAUUUUCAGCCAGUUUAGAAGAGUUUAUCACUCCCACAAGAACCUUAUGAGUUAACAGGUCAGAGGAAGGAUGUGUCAGCAGAAGCUCAUUUGCAUGUUUCCCACAAUCUUUCCUUUGGCUCAGUUUGCAGACGUCCUAGGCAAGUUGUAGUGUGGGCAUAGCUGUCACUUUCUCUCCAUCACAUCUACCAGAAUCUGUGGGCAAGUCUGGGCUACAUGUAGCUCAUUAUAAACACUGUGCUCGGAUGUCAGAGCCUAUUUUUCCAG